Molecule: ribosomal RNA, 468 nt
Filed under: uncultured bacterium
Lineage: Bacteria
Description: partial 16S ribosomal RNA
Rfam family: Bacterial small subunit ribosomal RNA
Source: RNAcentral
GACGAACGCUGGCGGCGUGCUUAACACAUGCAAGUCGAACGGUGAAGCUCCAGCUUUCUGGGGUGGAUCAGUGGCGAACGGGUGAGUAACACGUGAGCAACCUGCCCCUGACUCUGGAAUAAGCGCUGGAAACGGCGGCUAAUACCGGAUACGAGAAGGGUCCGCAUGGGCACUUUCUGGAAAGUUUUUCGGUUGGGGAUGGGCUCGCGGCUUAUCAGCUUGUUGGUGAGGUAGUGGCUCACCAAGGCGACGACGGGUAGCCGGCCUGAGCGGGCGACCGGCGACACUGGGACUGAGACACGGCCCAGACUCCUACGGGAGGCAGCAGUGGGGAAUAUUGCACAAUGGGCGCAAGCCUGAUGCAGCGACGCCGCGUGGGGGAUGACGGCCUUCGGGUUGUAAACCUCUUUCAGCAGGGAAGAAGCGAAAGUGACGGUACCUGCAAAAGAAGCACCGGCUAACUACGUG